Molecule: ribosomal RNA, 464 nt
Filed under: uncultured bacterium
Lineage: Bacteria
Description: partial 16S ribosomal RNA
Rfam family: Bacterial small subunit ribosomal RNA
Source: RNAcentral
CUACGGGGGGCAGCAGUGGAGAAUAUUGCACAAUGGGCGCAAGCCUGAUGCAGCCAUGCCGCGUGUAUGAAGAAGGCCUUCGGGUUGUAAAGUACUUUCAGCGGGGAGGAAGGGAGUAAAGUUAAUACCUUUGCUCAUUGACGUUACCCGCAGAAGAAGCACCGGCUAACUCCGUGCCAGCAGCCGCGGUAAUACGGAGGGUGCAAGCGUUAAUCGGAAUUACUGGGCGUAAAGCGCACGCAGGCGGUUUGUUAUGUCAGAUGUGAAAUCCCCGGGCUCAACCUGGGAACUGCAUCUGAUACUGGCAAGCUUGAGUCUCGUAGAGGGGGGUAGAAUUCCAGGUGUAGCGGUGAAAUGCGUAGAGAUCUGGAGGAAUACCGGUGGCGAAGGCGGCCCCCUGGACGAAGACUGACGCUCAGGUGCGAAAGCGUGGGGAGCAAACAGGAUUAGAUACCCGGGUAGUC